GGCUUUAUAGUCAAUGAUGAUAUUAGACUGCAAUUCUAAAGGAGUAGGUAAAACCUAUUAAGGCUU
This 66-nucleotide transfer RNA is filed under the name Anabrus simplex (Mormon cricket). RNAcentral's name for it is "tRNA-Cys". It matches the Rfam family "tRNA". Rfam says of the family: Transfer RNA (tRNA) molecules are approximately 80 nucleotides in length. Their secondary structure includes four short double-helical elements and three loops (D, anti-codon, and T loops). Further hydrogen bonds mediate the characteristic L-shaped molecular structure. tRNAs have two regions of fundamental functional importance: the anti-codon, which is responsible for specific mRNA codon recognition, and the 3' end, to which the tRNAs corresponding amino acid is attached (by aminoacyl-tRNA synthetases). tRNAs cope with the degeneracy of the genetic code in two manners: having more than one tRNA (with a specific anti-codon) for a particular amino acid; and 'wobble' base-pairing, i.e. permitting non-standard base-pairing at the 3rd anti-codon position. Lineage: Eukaryota; Metazoa; Arthropoda; Insecta; Orthoptera; Tettigoniidae. The record is from RNAcentral.